RNAcentral lists this ribosomal RNA (276 nucleotides) under Triticum aestivum (bread wheat). RNAcentral describes it as "partial small subunit ribosomal RNA". Lineage: Eukaryota; Viridiplantae; Streptophyta; Magnoliopsida; Poales; Poaceae. The record is from RNAcentral.
AUGCCGGUUUUCACUGCAGAUCUGCUAAAGGAGAGCAACAUGGCAACACUUAAAGAUGUGGCAACACGGAAGCCUAUUCUAGCGACAAUCCGCCUCCUAGUUCCUGCUGGAGCUGCGCGCCCCGCACCGCCUGUCGGGCCAGCUCUGGGUUUCUACAGGCUCAAUCUGAUGGCCUUCUGCAAGGAUUUCAACGCCAGGACACAGAAGUACAAGGCGGAGACUCCGAUGCAAGUCACGCUGACCGCCUACAAGGACAAUGUGGGAAUCUGCUACUGA